GGUCUUUUACGUCGGCCUUCGCGAGCGUCUGGGCGGGUGGUAGGUGAGUGGGUAUUGCGGGCUAGUAUCCGAGCAAAAGAUGGUGGCGCAGGCCGAGUUAAGAGCUUUAAUCCUGUGAAGACAUCUUAGUGAAGAGUUUAGAGUGCUGAGAGUUGAAAGCUUGCACGUGGGAAACGUGCGGCCGGACUGCCACAUGUACUGAGGUUGAGUCGUGACGGCCACAGGCUCCGAGUUUUGGCGUGAGGAACCGCUGAUCGGCCACGGGCGCCGAACUUGCUGGCCUCCGGCAUGUGCCUGAGCGGCGGCGGAAAAACCACCUUAAUUGGGGCGGAGGGUUAGUUUUAACAGCAAAGGGCCUUUACUAAAAUGGCGAAGGCCUUCCGUCGGCGUUGUUUUAAAAUGGGAAGCCUCGACCCUGUAUUGAAACUGAGCUGUUCGAAGGCGGCGUUGUGUGCAAUUCGGAUUAAUGAAGGGGAAGGGUUUUGUGUGGAAAAACGCCUUGGAGUGUGACAUUUCUGCGAGAAUGCUUAAAUACCGAUUUCCCGCAGGAACAAUGGCGCUGUCUUCAGUGGCACAGUGGAGCAGCUCUGAAGAUGCAAAGUUAGUUGAAUCCAUGGACAUGAAACCCACAGAUAUAGAGGGUUGGCCCGGUGCAGUGGCUCACGCCUGUAAUCCCAGCACUUUGGGAGGCCAAGGCGGGUGGAUCACCUGAGGUCAGAAGCUUGAGACCAGCCUGGCCAACAUGGGUACUGCUUUCUCUUGCUGCAGCUUGCUUCCUCCCUCAGGUAUGAAGUUAAGGUAACAUGAAGGAGGAUAUUGAAUGUUCCUAACACAAAGAAAUGAUAAAUGUUUGAGAUGGUGGAUGUACUAAUUGCCCUGAUCUGAUGACUAUACAUUAUAUAUAUUGAAACAUCAGUAUGUACCCCAUGAAUAUGUACAAUUAUAUGUCAACUUAAACACAUUUAAAAGUAAAAAAAAAAAAAUCCAAAACACGCAAGGAACUGAGCCAGCACGAAUAAGAAUUAGCAAAAUCUUCAAACCUCAAGACCAGACUCACAAGGACUUCAGAUACAGAAAUUUUAAAUAAAAAUUAUAAAAUGAGUAUGUUAAAAUGUUUAAAGAAAUAAAGGAAGGCAUUGGUAUAUGAUACAGAAAUAAAAGACCAUCAAAAAUAAUUUGGAUGACAUGAAAACAAUCAAAUAGACAUUCUGGAAAUAAAACAUAUAUAAUGGACAGGAGUGAAUGUCCCUAGGCUCCUGACCUCUCUGCAUUUGCAAGUAGUCUGAGCCAGAAAACGCUGAAAGACCUCAGAAGCCAAGUGGAAGCCCCACAGUGAAGCCAGGAGGGCCUUCAUUUCAGACUCAGCAGCUGCCCACGGUGGUGGCUGACACACUGCUGUAGCAUGUGUGCUGCCUGAACACUCACUGGCCACCCCCACAGCCCAGAGCACUGGCAUCAUCUGUACUAUCGGCCUAGUUUCCUGAUUGGUGGAAAUGUUGAUGAUUAAGUCUGGAAUUAAUAUGGCUUGUCUGAACUUACGAGUACCACGCAGAGACCAUCAGGAAUGUGUGCACAACUAUGGAAAGCCUUGCUUCUGACCCCAAUCUCUAGCGGCUAGUUGCUGUGGCUCUGGACACUAACGGGCCUGAGAUCUGAACUGGGCUCACACAGAGCAGUGUCCCCAUGGAGGUGGAGCUGAAGAAGGGAGCCACCUUCAGAUCACACUGGAUAAUGCCUACAUGGAAAACUUAUGAUGAGAACUUCCUGUAGCUGGACUACAAGAACAUUUGUAAGGUAGUGGAAAGGGGCAGCAAGAUCUAUAGAUUUAAUAACUUAUUUCUCUGCAGUUGGAGCAGAAAGGUACUGACCUCCUGGUGAUAGCAAUGGAAAAUUAUGGCUCCUUGGGCAGCAAAAAGGGUGUAGACCUUCCUGGUGACUGUGGACCUGCUUGCCAUGUCAGAAAAGGACAUCCAGGAUCUGAAGUUUGGGGUAGAAUGGGAUGUGGAUAUGGUGUUUGCCUCUUUCAUCCAUGUGGCAUCUAAUGUCCAUGAAAUUAGAAAGGCAAUUAUUGCAAACUGGAGCAAGGUGCCCACUUGCCCACCAGAGUUAGGCUCUUACCUUCCCAGAGGAACUGAGACCCACAGCUAUUUUUAUAUAUCUUACAGUUCAGAUCAGAUACAAAUAUGUAAACCUCUACAUUAUUUCUAUGUAGAAAUUAUGAUACUCUUUAAGCCUGUCACAGAUUUUGUUAUUUAAUGCAAAGAAGCACAUAUAUUACUAUGGGACACUUUUGGUUUGUUUAAAUAUUUUGAUAGUUGUAUUUUAAUGUAAAGGGUUUCAUUUGUAAUCUUAUACAGAUGGUCCCCAACUUACAAUGGUUCAACUUAUGAUUUUUCAUCUUUACAACGGCAUGAAAGCAAUACAUUUUCAGUAGAAACUGUAGGUCAAAUACUCAUACA
Molecule: long non-coding RNA, 2459 nt
Filed under: Homo sapiens (human)
Lineage: Eukaryota; Metazoa; Chordata; Mammalia; Primates; Hominidae
Description: small nucleolar RNA host gene 5
Source: RNAcentral